This 380-nucleotide ribosomal RNA is filed under the name uncultured eukaryote. Its description in RNAcentral is "partial 18S ribosomal RNA". It matches the Rfam family "Eukaryotic small subunit ribosomal RNA", at positions 592 to 976 of the family's 1831-position model. The record is from RNAcentral.
CAAUAGCGUAUAUUAAAGUUGUUGCGGUUAAAAAGCUCGUAGUUGGAUUUCUGCUGAGAACGACCGGUCCGCCCUCUGGGUGUGUAUCUGGCUCUUUCUUGGCAUCUUCUUGGUGAACGUUGCUGCACUUGACUGUGUGGAGCGCUACCCAGGACUUUUACUUUGAGGAAAUUAGAGUGUUUCAAGCAGGCAUACGCCUUGAAUACAUUAGCAUGGAAUAAUAAGAUAGGACCUCGGUUCUAUUUUGUUGGUUUCUAGAGCUGAGGUAAUGAUUAAUAGGGAUAGUUGGGGGCAUUCGUACUUAACUGUCAGAGGUGAAAUUCUCGGAUUUGUUAAAGACUAACUUAUGCGAAAGCAUUUGCCAAGGAUGUUUNCAUUAA